UCCUGUUUCGAACAUGUCGCGGCAUCCGUCUUUCACUUGGUGGUCCUCAACGCGUGCACAUGUUUUUUUUUAAUGUUUAUUAGUGGGAGCGCAGUGAGUUAUAUAAAUGGAAACAAAAGUCGGUGCAGCUUCAAUUAUAAUGAGGUCCCUUGAAAGUAAAUGGCUGUAUAGAAUGUCCAACUACGUACAUACAUAUAUAUGUGUACAUAGUCGGAGAGAAAAUUGAGACGGGAAAUGAUAUCGGUUUCAUCAUGCUGACUUAAGUGAAAGUGUACCGUCUGACCGUACCAGGCAAAAUAAAUGCUGAUGAAACAUUUGGAGGGCAUUGCGCAAACAUGAUUAUUGAAGAUAACAUGGUUUGUUUUGCGAUCAAAAGGAAUGUAAACAUCCAGUGAUAUAUCUAAUGGCUUUGACACGUAUGGUUUUCCAAAAUUUAACCUGUUGCUGUUUUAUAGAAAGCAGAUAAAACGCCUGGUGGGCAUUACGCAUGAUAUGAAUAUUGGAGAUAACAUGGUUUGUUUUGCGAUCAAAAGGAAUGUAAACAUCCAGUGAUAUAUCUAAUGGCUUUGACACGUAUGGUUUUCCAAAAUUUAACCUGUUGCUGUUUUAUAGAAAGCAGAUAAAAAGCCUGGUGGGCAUUACGCAUGAUAUGAAUAUUGGAGAUAAUUGUGUUUCUGAUGCGGUAAAAAGAAAUUCGAACAUCCAAUCCUGCUUCCAAGGGUUUUGACCCGUAUGCCUUUCCAGUCCCAAGACGUAGAAAGCUGACGUAACCAAGGUGUGUAUUUUUGCAACCCACUCUUACCAGUGUGUUAAACGUGGCAAUAUUUCCAACUUAAACGCAAUCCGCUGUCAAAAUGAGAAAUAAUAUUUCCUUCACCCCUAUUAUCAUACGGUAGACGAUAAACGCUUGCAAUCGUAUCGUAUAAAAUCAGUUCUCGUAUUGUCAUUUUCAUGCGCCCGACAGAUGUAUUGUAAAUGGCUGAGGUUUUCGUCCAGUUUUUAUUAGCUUUGAUCCAAUACUUUUCGUGUAAAAUCUUGU
Long non-coding RNA from Rhagoletis zephyria (snowberry fruit fly), 1039 nucleotides. RefSeq lists it as uncharacterized. Lineage: Eukaryota; Metazoa; Arthropoda; Insecta; Diptera; Tephritidae. The record is from RefSeq and is a predicted model, not a curated record.